GCAAACUCACAACCACUGCAGAAGGACAAGCAGCCAGCCAGCCAGCCAGCCAGCCAGCCAAGCCAGUCUGCCAGCCAGCCAGCCACACUGACUGACUGGCAGUAGACAUACUACUACUGCUACUACUGCUGUGUAAGCAACCCUACUGCAAGCCUGCUCCUUUGCCACUCCCACUGUCACUUCAACUACUACCACUGCCAAGCUAUGCUCGCUCGUAGCUAGGAGCUGUUUACAUUUCUGGGGGAGAUUUUCCGAUUGUUUACGGACGAAACACCGCUUUUUACAGCCCUAAUACCAGACAUUGGUUGGAUCUUAGUAUGGUUACAAGCAGCAAGUUUUAGAUACCUAUUAAAACACCAAGGUAAGCAACAUUGAUUUUUUUUUAAUAAUUUUUCCGUCUGUCUCUGAACAUGAAAGACUAAAACGUAAGUGAAAACAUAAUGUCUCUACUCACUGUCUCUGUCCUGUGUGAUUACUUUUAACCCUUUCAUUACCUAUUUCUGCGCUACAUCAGACUCCAGUCUGAUUUGGCAUGGUUUCUAUGGUUAGAUGCCCUUCCUAAUGCCAACCACUUUACAGAUUGAGCUGAGUGCUUUUUAUGUGGCACCACAUGAAUGGUUUGAUGUGGCACUGCACGGUUGCUUUUACAUGGCACCACAUGUGCUUUUGCGUUGCACCACCAUGAUGAUGAUAAUAGUCCUUUCUACUAAUGGCACAAGAGUGUGGGCUACUAACCCCAAGAUUCUGAGUUCGAUUCCAGGCAGAG
Molecule: long non-coding RNA, 766 nt
Organism: Octopus bimaculoides (California two-spot octopus)
Lineage: Eukaryota; Metazoa; Mollusca; Cephalopoda; Octopoda; Octopodidae
Source: RefSeq, a predicted model, not a curated record